UACGUAGGGGGCUAGCGUUGUCCGGAAUCAUUGGGCGUAAAGCGCGUGUAGGCGGCCCGGUAAGUCCGCUGUGAAAGUCGGGGGCUCAACCCUCGGAAGCCGGUGGAUACUGGCGGGCUCGAGUACGGAAGAGGCGAGUGGAAUUCCUGGUGUAGCGGUGAAAUGCGCAGAUAUCAGGAGGAACACCAAUUGCGAAGGCAGCUCGCUGGGACGUAACUGACGCUGAGACGCGAAAGCGUGGGGAGCAAACAGG
RNAcentral lists this ribosomal RNA (253 nucleotides) under uncultured bacterium. RNAcentral describes it as "partial 16S ribosomal RNA". It matches the Rfam family "Bacterial small subunit ribosomal RNA", at positions 524 to 776 of the family's 1533-position model. The record is from RNAcentral.